RNAcentral lists this unclassified non-coding RNA (1277 nucleotides) under Hevea brasiliensis (rubber tree). The record is from RNAcentral. Lineage: Eukaryota; Viridiplantae; Streptophyta; Magnoliopsida; Malpighiales; Euphorbiaceae.
GGGAAGGAAAAGAAGGUAACCUUUGACCUUACACCUUUUAAGCCCAUUAAUGCGUCUCUAUACCUAUGUGACAACAAGUUUCACACGGGACCUCUGGGUGAGCUUUUGGAAUCAGAUGAGAAGUUUGGUUUCAUCGUCAUGGAUGGUAACGGUACUCUUUUUGGGACCUUAAGUGGCAACACUAGGGAAAUCCUUCACAAAUUUACUGUUGACCUUCCCAAGAAGCAUGGAAGAGGAGGUCAAUCAGCUCUUCGGUUUGCUCGUCUUCGAAUGGAGAAACGUCAUAAUUAUGUGAGAAAGACAGCAGAGCUUGCUACUCAAUUCUUCAUUAACCCAGCCACUAGCCAGCCAAAUGUAUCUGGACUAAUACUUGCUGGAUCAGCUGAUUUCAAGACGGAGCUAAGCCAAUCUGAUAUGUUUGAUCCACGUCUACAAGCAAAGAUACUUAAUGUGGUUGAUGUGUCCUAUGGUGGAGAAAAUGGCUUCAAUCAGGCAAUCGAGCUGUCUGCAGAGAUACUGGCAAAUGUGAAGUUUAUACAAGAAAAGCGCUUGAUAGGGAAAUUCUUUGAGGAAAUCAGUCAAGAUACUGGCAAGUAUGUAUUCGGUGUGGAUGACACAAUAAAAGGUUUGGAGAUGGGAGCUGUUGAAACUCUAAUUGUGUGGGAAAAUCUUGAUAUAAACCGUUACGUAUUGAAAAACAGUGUGACUAAUGAGAUCGUCAUUAAGCACCUAAACAAGGAGCAAGAGGCUGAUAAUAGUAACUUUAAGGAUUCUGCCACAUCAGCUGAAUUGGAGGUUCAGGAUAAAAUGCCCCUGUUGGAGUGGUUUGCCAAUGAAUACAAAACUUUUGGUUGUUCACUUGAGUUUGUCACUAACAGGUCUCAAGAGGGGUCACAGUUCUGCAGAGGAUUUGGUGGCAUUGGAGGAAUCCUUCGCUACCAGCUUGACAUGCGUUCCUUUGAUGAGCCAUCUGAUGAAGGAGAAUACUUUGUGGAUUCUGAUUAAGUCAAUGAUUUCUGUCUACUAAGAUCAGACAGUGGAUGAGAGAUCUACAGUUGGUGGAAGUUUUCGGGCCUCCGGCCCAAAAUUCAUAUCUACUGAUUUAUUUAGAUAGCCACCAAUCCACCAUCAUUUAAUUCAUUCCACCAAAUUUCAUUUCUAUUCCUCGACCUUCACUCAUGUCAACAACCAGGAUAUAUCACCACUUCCACUUGCAACAAUUGAGAAACCCAAAUGACAAAUCUGUAACACUGACUUCUCAUACAGACAGUUUUAAC